GUAACUCUUAUAAACCUUUUGAAGCUUAACCGCAGCAGCAUUAAGCUCGCACACCGGUCUCGGUGAGAACAUGAUUGCCGGUUCGGGAAGAGAAAGGGAAGGCAUUGACACAUGCUUCAAGGUAUUUGAACCCAUCAUAAUCUCUUUGUUGUUAUCUUCAACAGCUACAUAAUUCUUGAAUGAAAAAUUCUUUUCGAGCAAUUUUACAUUUUCUGGUUUGUAAUUCUUUAAGCUUCUUGUUCUUUUAGUACUUUUGAUGGUUUCAUCAUCAUCAUGAUAAUGAUCAUUUGAGGAGCCAUCUGUUUUCUUGAAGCUAUUUACCCUUACGGUGACCUCACCAUCUUUGGUAUCAAAACUGAUGUUGUAUGCCAAACUAAAAAUCCUGUGUUUCAGAAUCUCUUCCCAGGCCGAUAAGAGCAAUGAAAGCGAAAAGCCCAUAGAUAUAUCUAUCUGCAAUUUUUCAAUUAAUAGGAGGAACCCAGAUUAAAUUAAAGAGAAGCAAAUUAAAAGAACAUGAACACGACCCUCAAUUAUCAAAAAAGAAAAGAACAAAAAAAAAAUCUCUUCUAUUAAAUUACCUGUAGUACUGUGUUAGAGGACCGGAGACCUGCUUAUUCCAAUUUUUCUUAAUUUGUUUUAUGGUUGUGGUUUUGAUUUGAUGUCAAGAUGCAAUUGAUGAUGUUAAAUUUGACUGCUCCUUAGCUUAAUUUAUAUUACAACUGCUCAGGGAACAAAACAAGUAGUCCAGUCCACAAAACCUUCAAAGACGUGCUGAACACAACAGUUUUUGAAUGGAAGAUAAAAGAGAUAAAGAUGGGCUCUGAAAUCAAGGGUUAAUUUUAAUUUCCAGGUUCAAGACCAAGAGUUUGAUGUAUUCAAAGCUUGAAAAUGUUGAAUUCCUUUGCACAAUAUGUUCCGUAUUACGUGUAAUAUGUAUACAUAGAAAUCUUUUUUUUUUCGUUAUUCAAUUCAAUUUUAAUAACAUUACACGUGUGAAUUCGAAAGAUAUUGAUGCUACGAG
RNAcentral lists this long non-coding RNA (1021 nucleotides) under Citrus maxima (pomelo). RNAcentral describes it as "long non-coding RNA (CMAX_LNC001801)". Lineage: Eukaryota; Viridiplantae; Streptophyta; Magnoliopsida; Sapindales; Rutaceae. The record is from RNAcentral.